UACGGAGGGUGCAAGCAUUAAUCGGAUUUAUUGGGCGUAAAGGGCGCGUAGGCGGGAAGGUAAGUCAAGUGUGAAAGACCGGGGCUCAACCUCGGAACCGCACCUGAAACUGCUUUUCUUGAGGGCGGGCGGAGAAAACGGAAUUCCACAAGUAGCGGUGAAAUGCGUAGAUAUGUGGAAGAACACCGGUGGCGAAAGCGGUUUUCUAGCUCGUUCCUGACGCUGAGGCGCGAAAGCAAGGGGAUCAAACAGG
This 253-nucleotide ribosomal RNA is filed under the name uncultured bacterium. RNAcentral describes it as "partial 16S ribosomal RNA". It matches the Rfam family "Bacterial small subunit ribosomal RNA", at positions 524 to 776 of the family's 1533-position model. The record is from RNAcentral.